RNAcentral lists this transfer RNA (82 nucleotides) under Tumebacillus permanentifrigoris. RNAcentral describes it as "tRNA-Leu". It matches the Rfam family "tRNA". From Rfam's summary of the family: Transfer RNA (tRNA) molecules are approximately 80 nucleotides in length. The record is from RNAcentral. Lineage: Bacteria; Bacillati; Bacillota; Bacilli; Caryophanales; Alicyclobacillaceae.
GCGGUCGUGGCGGAAUGGCAGACGCGCACGCUUGAGGGGCGUGUGGGGUUUCCCCGUGGAAGUUCGAGUCUUCUCGACCGCA